AUGGCCACAAAUGGGAAGGUGACUGAAAAAUCUGGCACAUCGGAUUGCGAUGAAGAUCGGAUAUCCACUUGUAACAUCACUAAGGCUGGGAUUGGGGGCCCUCUUAUUGACACUUGUGGGAAUUUUGUUGGUAUGAACUUCUAUGGCGAGAAAAGAACUCCUUUUUUACCAGCGAGUGUACUUUCGAAGGUCUUGGGGGAGUUUAUUGGACAAUGGCCUGAGGAUGCCUUGCCUAUUAUUGGCAAUGCUGAUGAAAAAAGUGACAGGUGGAAAGUGCCCGAGCCAUCGUGGAUGAGUUCACCUGUGGAGUCACUUGUCGAGAUAGUUUGCCGGCAGCCAACCUACUGA
This 348-nucleotide ribosomal RNA is filed under the name Triticum aestivum (bread wheat). Its description in RNAcentral is "partial small subunit ribosomal RNA". The record is from RNAcentral. Lineage: Eukaryota; Viridiplantae; Streptophyta; Magnoliopsida; Poales; Poaceae.